GAUGAACGCUGGCGGCGUGCCUAAUACAUGCAAGUCGAGCGAACGGACGAGAAGCUUGCUUCUCUGAUGUUAGCGGCGGACGGGUGAGUAACACGUGGAUAACCUACCUAUAAGACUGGGAUAACUUCGGGAAACCGGAGCUAAUACCGGAUAAUAUUUUGAACCGCAUGGUUCAAAAGUGAAAGACGGUCUUGCUGUCACUUAUAGAUGGAUCCGCGCUGCAUUAGCUAGUUGGUAAGGUAACGGCUUACCAAGGCAACGAUGCAUAGCCGACCUGAGAGGGUGAUCGGCCACACUGGAACUGAGACACGGUCCAGACUCCUACGGGAGGCAGCAGUAGGGAAUCUUCCGCAAUGGGCGAAAGCCUGACGGAGCAACGCCGCGUGAGUGAUGAAGGUCUUCGGAUCGUAAAACUCUGUUAUUAGGGAAGAACACAUGUGUAAGUAACUGUGCACAUCUUGACGGUACCUAAUCAGAAAGCCACGGCUAACUACGUGCCAGCAGCCGCGGUAAUACAUAGGUGGCAAGCGUUAUCCGGAAUUAUUGGGCGUAAAGCGCGCGUAGGCGGUUUUUUAAGUCUGAUGUGAAAGCCCACGGCUCAACCGUGGAGGGUCAUUGGAAACUGGAAAACUUGAGUGCAGAAGAGGAAAGUGGAAUUCCAUGUGUAGCGGUGAAAUGCGCAGAGAUAUGGAGGAACACCAGUGGCGAAGGCGACUUUCUGGUCUGUAACUGACGCUGAUGUGCGAAAGCGUGGGGAUCAAACAGGAUUAGAUACCCUGGUAGUCCACGCCGUAAACGAUGAGUGCUAAGUGUUAGGGGGUUUCCGCCCCUUAGUGCUGCAGCUAACGCAUUAAGCACUCCGCCUGGGGAGUACGACCGCAAGGUUGAAACUCAAAGGAAUUGACGGGGACCCGCACAAGCGGUGGAGCAUGUGGUUUAAUUCGAAGCAACGCGAAGAACCUUACCAAAUCUUGACAUCCUUUGACAACUCUAGAGAUAGAGCCUUCCCCUUCGGGGGACAAAGUGACAGGUGGUGCAUGGUUGUCGUCAGCUCGUGUCGUGAGAUGUUGGGUUAAGUCCCGCAACGAGCGCAACCCUUAAGCUUAGUUGCCAUCAUUAAGUUGGGCACUCUAAGUUGACUGCCGGUGACAAACCGGAGGAAGGUGGGGAUGACGUCAAAUCAUCAUGCCCCUUAUGAUUUGGGCUACACACGUGCUACAAUGGACAAUACAAAGGGCAGCGAAACCGCGAGGUCAAGCAAAUCCCAUAAAGUUGUUCUCAGUUCGGAUUGUAGUCUGCAACUCGACUACAUGAAGCUGGAAUCGCUAGUAAUCGUAGAUCAGCAUGCUACGGUGAAUACGUUCCCGGGUCU
RNAcentral lists this ribosomal RNA (1372 nucleotides) under uncultured bacterium. Its description in RNAcentral is "bacterial SSU rRNA". It matches the Rfam family "Bacterial small subunit ribosomal RNA", at positions 28 to 1381 of the family's 1533-position model. The record is from RNAcentral.